Molecule: ribosomal RNA, 843 nt
Filed under: Haemophilus sp. cp05.08
Lineage: Bacteria; Pseudomonadati; Pseudomonadota; Gammaproteobacteria; Pasteurellales; Pasteurellaceae
Description: bacterial SSU rRNA
Rfam family: Bacterial small subunit ribosomal RNA
Source: RNAcentral
GCAAGUCCGAACCGUAGCAGGAGAAAGCUUGCUUUCUUGCUGACGAGUGGCGGACGGGUGAGUAAUGCUUGGGAAUCUGGCUUAUGGAGGGGGAUAACUACGGGAAACUGUAGCUAAUACCGCGUAACAUCUUCGGAUUAAAGAAUGGGACAUUUGCCAUUCGCCAUAAGAUGAGCCCAAGUGGGAUUAGGUAGUUGGUGGGGUAAAGGCCUCCAAGCCCGACCAUCUCUAGCUGGUCUUGAAAGGAUGACCCACCACGCUUGGAACUUGAGACACGGUCCAGACUCCUACCGGGAAGCAGCAAUGGGGGAAUAUUGCCCCAUGGGGGCAACCCUGACGCAGCCAUGCCGCGUGAAUGAAGAAGGCCUUCGGGUUGUAAAGUUCUUUCGGUGGUGAGGAAGGCUUAUGUGUUAAUAGCACUUAAGAUUGACGUUAGCCACAGAAGAAGCACCGGCUAACUCCGUGCCAGCAGCCGCGGUAAUACGGAGGGUGCGAGCGUUAAUCGGAAUGACUGGGCGUAAAGGGCACCGCAGGCGGAUUGUUAAGUGAGAUGUGAAAGCCCCGGGCUUAACCUGGGAAUUGCAUUUCAGACUGGCAAUCUAGAAGUAUUUUAGGGAGGGGUAGAAUUCCACCGUGUAGCGGUGAAAUGCGUAGAGAUGUGGAGGAAUACCGAAGGCGAAGGCAGCCCCUUGGGAAUAUACUUGACGCUCAUGUGCCGAAAGCCGUGGGGAGCAAACAGGAUUAGAUACCCUGGUAGUCCACGCUGUAAACGAUGUCCGAUUUGGGGAUUGGGCUUUAAGCUUGGUGCCCCGAAGCUAACGUGAUAAAUCGACCGCCUGGGGA